UCUGGCAGUGAUGCCACACUUGCCCUCACUGAGAACUCUGUUCCAUAAUGAGCCUCUCUCUGCUGUGCUGGAGCAGCUGAGCCAGA
Cyanoderma ruficeps (rufous-capped babbler) is the source of this 86-nucleotide small nucleolar RNA. Lineage: Eukaryota; Metazoa; Chordata; Aves; Passeriformes; Timaliidae. The record is from Ensembl.